UGGCUCUCGCAUCGAUGAAGAACGCAGCGAAAUGCGAUAAGUAAUGUGAAUUGCAGAAUUCAGUGAAUCAUCGAAUCUUUGAACGCACCUUGCGCUCCUUGGUAUUCCGAGGAGCAUGCCUGUUUGAGUGUCUUGAAGUCAUCAACCCCGACCGUUUCGCGCGGUCGGACGUUGGAUAUGGGGGCUCUGCUGCCGUGAGGCGGCUCCCCUCAAAUGCAUCGGUUGGGCCUGUGGGUCGAACUCGACUGGGCGUUGUACCAUCCUCGCUCUACAGAGACGUUCCCCUUCCGUGCCCCUCCCCGGCUUAGCCUUCUCAGAGUGGCGGCCAACGUAUUUGAAAUCUGACCUCAAAUCAGGUAGGACUACCCGCUGA
This 373-nucleotide unclassified non-coding RNA is filed under the name uncultured fungus. RNAcentral describes it as "partial contains 5.8S ribosomal RNA and internal transcribed spacer 2". The stretch from base 1 to 133 matches the Rfam family "5.8S ribosomal RNA", at positions 22 to 154 of the family's 154-position model. The record is from RNAcentral. Lineage: Eukaryota; Fungi.